AGAAAAGUUUCAACCCCGAAACCAACCAGAAAAAAACAACUUGAACCAUAAACCUCCCCUAUUUAAACACAAGUACCGAGAGGGAAAACUGAAAUAAACAUUACAAAUAAAACAAGAAAAGGAGAAAACCCCUACCUUUUGUAUCAUGGCUUAACAAGAUCACUCAGACAGCAGAUCUAAAACCCGAAAGAAAGCGAGCUAAUUUUCACUGCCCACAGAGCUACAACCUCACUGUUGCAGUAGUGAGGGAAGAGUGAAAAUUAGAGGUUAUAUGCCAACCGCGCUUUCUGAUAGCUGGUAUUCAGGGAAAGAAGUAGAAGCUUCUCUAUCUUAAGGGUACCCAAAACAUUUAAUUAAAGUCACAGACAACCCAUAAAAAUAGAAAGAAAGCAGAAGAUAAGCUCUGCUUUCAAAAGGGAAACAACCCAAAGCGUAAAAAAGUACAACAAAAGGAAGGAAGAAAGCCAAAGUAGGCCUAAAAGCUGCCAACUAAAAAGAAAGCGUUAAAGCUCGGAAAACCAAACCCUACAAUCAAUGAAACCCACACAUUUUUCGCUAGAAGUACCUGAAAACAAUAAUGUUAAGAUAAGUAAGAAGACAAAAACUCUCCCCUCUAAAAGAAGUCAUAAAAACAGAACCUAGAAAGAAAACGUCGAGACAUCUUUUCAGAAUAUACUGGCAACUCAGCCUAGAGAAGGGAAGAAACAACGGAAAGGAAGGAACUCAGCAAACACGAAAAAGGACUGUUUACCAAAAACAUAGCCCUUUGUAGACAUAAAGGGUCUUGCCUGCCCAGUGGCUAAAGCUAAACGGCCGCGGUAUCUUGACCGUGCAAAGGUAGCAUAAUCAUUUGUCUUUUAAAUGGAGACUUGUAUGAAUGGCGGAACCUUCUUCAACUGUCUCCCUUUCCACUCCCCCAAAUUUCUAUUUCCGUGAAGAAGCAGAAAUAAAAGAGAAAGACGAGAAGACCCUGUCGAGCUUCAGCUUAAAGGUGAAAAACUAAACAUCAUCCAAAAGCUUUGGUUGGGGCAACCAUGGAGAAAACACAUCCUCCAGAAAAAAUAGAAGAAAACCCUUCACUAUUUUCAACCUCAAAGAACCAGAAACUGGUAAUCGGAAAAAGUUACCGCAGGGAUAACAGCGUAAUCUUCUCUAAGAGUCCUUAUUGACGAGAAGGUUUGCGACCUCGAUGUUGGAUUGGGGCCUCCUUUGGGUGCAGAAGCUCUAAAAGGUUAGACUGUUCGUCUAUUAAAGCCCUACAUGAUCUGAGUUCAGACCGACGCAAGUCAGGUCAGCUUCUAUCUUCUUUUAAGAUUUUCCUAGUACGAAAGGACCGGAAAAUCCCUUUUAAUGGUUAACUCCAAAAAGGAAAAAUUUAAAAUUUUUAUCCAAAAUAAUCACAAACAAAGCCAGAAACAAAGGCACAUAUAAAAUCGAAGUGUUUGCCCGUUCGGUUUAAAAUCACACUUAAGGAAGAAAAUUUUAAAUUUCUACAAGGCCCCCCCCUUAUUGUUUUAUUUCAUUUACAAACC
This 1532-nucleotide ribosomal RNA is filed under the name Holothuria scabra. RNAcentral's name for it is "16S ribosomal RNA". The stretch from base 1 to 1323 matches the Rfam family "Bacterial large subunit ribosomal RNA". Lineage: Eukaryota; Metazoa; Echinodermata; Holothuroidea; Aspidochirotida; Holothuriidae. The record is from RNAcentral.